UACGGAGGGUCCGAGCGUUGUCCGGAUUCAUUGGGUUUAAAGGGUGCGUAGGCGGUCUGGUAAGUCAGCUGUGAAAGCUUACGGCUCAACCGUGAAAUUGCAGUUGAUACUGUUAGUCUUGAGUAUAGAUGAGGUGGGCGGAAUUUGUGGUGUAGCGGUGAAAUGCUUAGAUAUCACAAAGAACUCCGAUUGCGAAGGCAGCGCACUGGGGUGUGACUGACGCUGAUGCACGAAGGUGUGGGUAGCAAACAGG
This 253-nucleotide ribosomal RNA is filed under the name uncultured bacterium. RNAcentral's name for it is "partial 16S ribosomal RNA". It matches the Rfam family "Bacterial small subunit ribosomal RNA", at positions 524 to 776 of the family's 1533-position model. The record is from RNAcentral.